This 843-nucleotide ribosomal RNA is filed under the name Micrococcaceae bacterium 4_3-03MN3. Its description in RNAcentral is "bacterial SSU rRNA". It matches the Rfam family "Bacterial small subunit ribosomal RNA", at positions 528 to 1369 of the family's 1533-position model. Lineage: Bacteria; Bacillati; Actinomycetota; Actinomycetes; Micrococcales; Micrococcaceae. The record is from RNAcentral.
UAGGGCGCAAGCGUUAUCCGGAAUUAUUGGGCGUAAAGAGCUCGUAGGCGGUUUGUCGCGUCUGCCGUGAAAGUCCGGGGCUCAACCCCGGAUCUGCGGUGGGUACGGGCAGACUAGAGUGAUGUAGGGGAGACUGGAAUUCCUGGUGUAGCGGUGAAAUGCGCAAAUAUCAGGAGGAACACCGAUGGCGAAGGCAGGUCUCUGGGCAUUAACUGACGCUGAGGAGCGAAAGCAUGGGGAGCGAACAGGAUUAGAUACCCUGGUAGUCCAUGCCGUAAACGUUGGGCACUAGGUGUGGGGGACAUUCCACGUUUUCCGCGCCGUAGCUAACGCAUUAAGUGCCCCGCCUGGGGAGUACGGCCGCAAGGCUAAAACUCAAAGGAAUUGACGGGGGCCCGCACAAGCGGCGGAGCAUGCGGAUUAAUUCGAUGCAACGCGAAAAACCUUACCAAGGCUUGACAUGAACCGGAAACGCCUGGAAACAGGUGCCCCGCUUGCGGUCGGUUUACAGGUGGUGCAUGGUUGUCGUCAGCUCGUGUCGUGAGAUGUUGGGUUAAGUCCCGCAACGAGCGCAACCCUCGUUCCAUGUUGCCAGCGGGUUAUGCCGGGGACUCAUGGGAGACUGCCGGGGUCAACUCGGAGGAAGGUGGGGACGACGUCAAAUCAUCAUGCCCCUUAUGUCUUGGGCUUCACGCAUGCUACAAUGGCCGGUACAAAGGGUUGCGAUACUGUGAGGUGGAGCUAAUCCCAAAAAGCCGGUCUCAGUUCGGAUUGGGGUCUGCAACUCGACCCCAUGAAGUCGGAGUCGCUAGUAAUCGCAGAUCAGCACGCUGCGGUGAAUAC